UAGGGUUUAUGAUAAGAACGGUUACCUGUAAUACAAGAAAAAUAGGACUAAGGAACUUAUCAUAAUUGAUCACGUGCUCCACAUCACCAACCGAUACAAGCCGUCAACGACGUUGCAUCGAUGGCUCUCCGACAACAUGGAUCAACUAGGAUCCCGGCGGUACAGAUCUACGACCGGUGGUGGUGGGGAACAUGCGGCUCCGCCUCGAACGCC
Molecule: long non-coding RNA, 213 nt
Filed under: Brassica napus (rape)
Lineage: Eukaryota; Viridiplantae; Streptophyta; Magnoliopsida; Brassicales; Brassicaceae
Description: long non-coding RNA (BNAP_LNC023235)
Source: RNAcentral